RNAcentral lists this ribosomal RNA (594 nucleotides) under Bacillus sp. CH161a_5T. Its description in RNAcentral is "bacterial SSU rRNA". It matches the Rfam family "Bacterial small subunit ribosomal RNA", at positions 57 to 632 of the family's 1533-position model. Lineage: Bacteria; Bacillati; Bacillota; Bacilli; Caryophanales; Bacillaceae. RNAcentral also lists the same sequence under 1 other name. The record is from RNAcentral.
GCAGUCGAGCGAAUGGAUUAAGAGCUUGCUCUUAUGAAGUUAGCGGCGGACGGGUGAGUAACACGUGGGUAACCUGCCCAUAAGACUGGGAUAACUCCGGGAAACCGGGGCUAAUACCGGAUAACAUUUUGAACUGCAUGGUUCGAAAUUGAAAGGCGGCUUCGGCUGUCACUUAUGGAUGGACCCGCGUCGCAUUAGCUAGUUGGUGAGGUAACGGCUCACCAAGGCAACGAUGCGUAGCCGACCUGAGAGGGUGAUCGGCCACACUGGGACUGAGACACGGCCCAGACUCCUACGGGAGGCAGCAGUAGGGAAUCUUCCGCAAUGGACGAAAGUCUGACGGAGCAACGCCGCGUGAGUGAUGAAGGCUUUCGGGUCGUAAAACUCUGUUGUUAGGGAAGAACAAGUGCUAGUUGAAUAAGCUGGCACCUUGACGGUACCUAACCAGAAAGCCACGGCUAACUACGUGCCAGCAGCCGCGGUAAUACGUAGGUGGCAAGCGUUAUCCGGAAUUAUUGGGCGUAAAGCGCGCGCAGGUGGUUUCUUAAGUCUGAUGUGAAAGCCCACGGCUCAACCGUGGAGGGUCAUUGGAAA